Molecule: ribosomal RNA, 301 nt
Filed under: uncultured bacterium
Lineage: Bacteria
Description: partial 16S ribosomal RNA
Rfam family: Bacterial small subunit ribosomal RNA
Source: RNAcentral
CAGCCGCCGCGGGAAUACGGAGGGUGCAAGCGUUAAUCGGAAUUACUGGGCGUAAAGCGUGCGUAGGCGGUUCGUUAAGUCUGUUGUGAAAGCCCCGGGCUCAACCUGGGAAUGGCAAUGGAUACUGGCGAGCUAGAGUGUGUCAGAGGAUGGUGGAAUUCCCGGUGUAGCGGUGAAAUGCGUAGAGAUCGGGAGGAACAUCAGUGGCGAAGGCGGCCAUCUGGGACAACACUGACGCUGAGGCACGAAAGCGUGGGGAGCAAACAGGAUUAGAUACCCCCGUAGUCCCUGUCUCUUAUAC